Molecule: non-coding RNA, 84 nt
Organism: Mucidula mucida
Lineage: Eukaryota; Fungi; Basidiomycota; Agaricomycetes; Agaricales; Physalacriaceae
Source: the annotation of a GenBank genome assembly
UCUCUGAUAGUAUAUCGGUUAGUACACGCGCCUGUCAUUUGUUGUCAUCCGCGCGAAAGCUGGGUUCGACUCCCAGUCAGAGAG